UACAGAGGUGGCAAGCGUUGUUCGGAAUUACUGGGCGUAAAGGGCGCGUAGGCGGUCUUCUAAGUCUUGUGUGAAAUCCCUCGGCUCAACUGAGGAACUGCACGGGAUACUGGAAGACUUGAGUUCGGGAGAGGGAAGCGGAAUUCCGGGUGUAGCGGUGAAAUGCGUAGAUAUCCGGAGGAGCACCGGUGGCGAAGGCGGCUUCCUGGACCGAUCACUGACGCUGAGGCGCGAAAGCUAGGGGAGCAAACGGG
Molecule: ribosomal RNA, 254 nt
Filed under: uncultured bacterium
Lineage: Bacteria
Description: partial 16S ribosomal RNA
Rfam family: Bacterial small subunit ribosomal RNA
Source: RNAcentral